RNAcentral lists this ribosomal RNA (497 nucleotides) under uncultured bacterium. Its description in RNAcentral is "partial 16S ribosomal RNA". It matches the Rfam family "Bacterial small subunit ribosomal RNA", at positions 28 to 507 of the family's 1533-position model. The record is from RNAcentral.
GAUGAACGCUGGCGGCGUGCCUAAUACAUGCAAGUCGAGCGAACGGACGAGAAGCUUGCUUCUCUGAUGUUAGCGGCGGACGGGUGAGUAACACGUGGAUAACCUACCUAUAAGACUGGGAUCACUUCGGGAAACCGGAGCUAAUACCGGAUAAUAUUUUGAACCGCAUGGUUCAAAAGUGAAAGACGGUCCUGCUGUCACUUAUAGAUGGAUCCGCGCUGCAUUAGCUAGUUGGUAAGGUAACGGCUUACCAAGGCAACGAUGCAUAGCCGACCUGAGAGGGUGAUCGGCCACACUGGAACUGAGACACGGUCCAGACUCCUACGGGAGGCAGCAGUAGGGAAUCUUCCGCAAUGGGCGAAAGCCUGACGGAGCAACGCCGCGUGAGUGAUGAAGGUCUUCGGAUCGUAAAACUCUGUUAUUAGGGAAGAACAUAUGUGUAAGUAACUGUGCACAUCUUGACGGUACCUAAUCAGAAAGCCACGGCUAACUACGUG